RNAcentral lists this transfer RNA (319 nucleotides) under Streptococcus intermedius. RNAcentral's name for it is "16S-23S ribosomal RNA intergenic spacer". The stretch from base 57 to 129 matches the Rfam family "tRNA". The record is from RNAcentral. RNAcentral also lists the same sequence under 2 other names. Lineage: Bacteria; Bacillati; Bacillota; Bacilli; Lactobacillales; Streptococcaceae.
CUAAGGAAAAAUCGGAAGCCAUUGAGUUCGUUUUGUUUAGUUUUGAGAGGUCUUGUGGGGCCUUAGCUCAGCUGGGAGAGCGCCUGCUUUGCACGCAGGAGGUCAGCGGUUCGAUCCCGCUAGGCUCCAUUAUCUAGGAUGCAAAGAAAUGAGAUUCUUGUUCAACUAGAUAAGAUAGGAUAGGUGUUCAACGGGUAAAGAAGUUGAACACGAACCUAAUUAGCCCAUUGAAAAUUGAAUAACGAUAUCAAAUAGUAACAAGAAAAUAAACCGAAACGCUGUGAAUAUUAAUGAGUUUAUGACUGAAAGGUCAAAAUAA